RNAcentral lists this long non-coding RNA (5519 nucleotides) under Nicotiana tabacum (common tobacco). Its description in RNAcentral is "long non-coding RNA (NTAB_LNC008012)". The record is from RNAcentral. Lineage: Eukaryota; Viridiplantae; Streptophyta; Magnoliopsida; Solanales; Solanaceae.
UAUAAGAAAGGGAAAUUGACGGAUAUACUAUAAAUAAUUCGAAUCCCUGGACGAUUGGAAACUAAUGACCUAAAUUUCGAAAGAUGUUUGGUACUAUGAUUUGCAAUUUGUACGCCUUAACUUGUUUUGGAAUUCCACUUCCAACUUUCCAUUUCAGCAAUAACAUUUUUCUAGAAAGAUUAAAAUUAGACCAGUUCGUUAGGAUCAUCCCUCUGUUUUCCUUCAUCUAGUCUAGAAAAGGAAAUAGUUCAGUUACAAGAAAAUUUCCUAUUUCGUCAGAAACAGAAGUUUGUCUUGGGCUUUUCCUCCUGUUCUCCUAACCUUCGUUUUUUGAAAAUUGAAGUCAACAUCCUUCCAACUACACUGCUUUCUUUAAUUUCCACUUCCUCCUGCUGAAACAUAGUCUAGACUAAUCAUUAAGUACCAGUGAAGGCCUAGCCUCGACGUCUGAGAGCUUAUUAUCAUAAGAAAGCUCUUGAAACACAGUUGUGCAGCAACCUAUGAGGUGUUAAGGAUAACUUUAGCAUUAUCUGUUCAACUACCAUCUGGAGUCUUUCUCCUCUGACCCGAGGCUGAGGGAUCCUGCUUUCGUGCCUCUCCAAAAUUUGAUCUGCAUUUGAUGGCACGACUCAAAAGUUAGAAUAUCCAAACCCAAGCAUCCAUUAUAUGAUUUAGUAUUCAGCAGUACGGUGGUAGAACAGUUACUUUGACCAUCUGUGCCUUUUGAUUUGUGUCUCAGAUAUUCUUGGAGAAGAAUCCUUAAAAUGUAGCUGACAAGUAAUCUAUUAGUAGUAACUAGCAGUGUUGUCAAAGGCUUAUUUAAGGCGCGCUUAAGCCCUGAAGCUCAUAAAAGCUCAAGGAGGGCGCUUCGCCUUGCUUUAGUUGCGCUUCAGUGUAAGGCAAGGCACUAAGGAGUGCGCCUCAUUGCCCAUGAGUUCUCUCUUGAAUCAAGCAGCACUAAAAAACAACUAUAAUCAGAAAUAAGUGUACUAGCUGCUAAGGGAAACAUUAUAAAUGAAUUUGUUACUUUGUUCUUGAAAUACAUAUAGAUUUUUAUUUAUUUCCUUCAUUGCGCCUUUUUUAACUAAAGCUCACACUUUAAGUGCGCUUUGCGCUUAAAGCCCAAAUAGACCUAGAGCGCUUUUUAGAGCUUUUCGCCCUUGACAACACUGGUAACUAGGUGACUGAAGUUCAUGCAUCCCCAAUUCUUCUCUAAGAAAUUCAGGUAGUUAACAUAAUUGAGACACCAGAUGGCAAGAAAGUUUACCAGCCCAAUUUAAAGAAUGUUUUAAGGGACACCGCUGGUGAGAGCUAGUUCUCUAUUCCAGACUACCACAACGAAAUCUUUGUUUUAACUUUUAAAUAACAUGACAGCACACAGUAAUGACAUGCACUCAUCUUUCUCGCACUUUUUAAGGAAAUAUGCAACCAGUCACAAGUGGCUCCUAAUAGGAACUGUUAACUGCACCUAUUUGCCGUAUAAUUGCUGUUCAGAACUUGGCCUUCCUAGGAAAACUAGCACAUAUCAUGUUGCAAACAAAAAUGUCAAAAUUAGAUCACUAAGAUAACAAUCAUUAUGUGCACUCCCUUGUCCUUGCAAAGAGCCUUCCAAUAAACGAGGAUUUCAUAUAGCUAACUCCAACUAUUACGGGAUUGAGACAUAGUUGAUACGGAACAGUAAAUAAUACCACCAGGUUCCUGCUUGUAUUUGAUGGGUAAUCUGGGAGAAAAAACAGCGAUUCUUUGCAGGAAAACAUGAGAGUGUACAUAGAUUAAAGCAAAGAUGUAUUUUCUCUUUUGCUUUUUUGGUGCAGAAAUCUUGAUGUAAUGGAGCUAGUACACGUAAAUCAUGGCAAAAGUCUCCCUAAUAGCAUUUACAAGAGCUGAUUAUUAGACCUCCUUGACUGUGAAGCAAUGGAGUUGAGUUUUUGUUUUUUGUAAAGCACAGCGUUCAAUUGAUGCAGGUUGCAAUAAGAACCUUGCGAACUGAUAAAAAAGGUGAUCAGGACUGCCCGUAACAUUUGACAUGAUAUAAGGUCUUGUUGACCUUCUGGACCGAAACCAAUUUUCAAUGCAGCAUAAUAAUGAGAAAUGAAGAGCUUGUCAAUGAGACUCUUUAGUUAAAAGACAAUGAAACUCACCCGCAUGUUGAGCAUUUCUUGUGAUGCUUGCAGAAUAUGGAUAAACAAACAGAGCAUAUGUAGCCCAUGUCAAUUGUGUUCUUGUGGCAAAAGCACCUGCAAGGUAGUAGAAACUUCAUCGGAUGAGCAAUAAUAGUUAAUUGAGUGUGAACGGGGCGAAGAGUAAUCCCAAUACUACAUUGGGGUAUGAGCUCAAGGAAUUUGUGUCAAAAUGGACUAGAAAUUGGAGUAAAGAUUUAUUUGGUGUCAGACUGCAGGACUUCAGUUAAUACUUGCAGUUGCUAUUAGUAGGAUAGGUCUCCUGAAUUAAACAUCCCUUUUCCUUUUUGUUGUAAUAGGAUUCCACCGGAUUCUUUUUUAUUCAGUAACAUAACUAACAUGAUUGACAAGAGUGGGUUGCUCUAGUGGUGAGCACCCUCCACUUCCAACCAAGAGGUUGUGAGUUCGAGUCACCCCAAGAGCAAGGUGGGGAGUUCUUGGAAGGAGGGGUGCCGAGGGUCUAUCGGAAACAGCCUCUCUACCGCAAGGUAGGGGUAAGGUCUGCGUACACACUACCCUCCCCAUAUCCCACUUGUGGGAUUAUACUGGGUGGUGGUGGUUGUAUAACUAACAUGAUUGAAAGAGAAACUGGUCACCACCAUCUAAAGUGGCUUAGAUAGAAAAUUCCCAUUCAUCAGUUUCUCACUUCUAGUUAUUACCUAUGUUGCGUGGACUCUUCAAAUCCCUGCCGCACCCGUGUCGACACGACAUGAGUGUGGGUGUGGGAUCCAUAUCGGAUUUGGUCAACUUACCUUGGGUACUUUGACUACGUCUAUGAUGGAGAAGUAUAGAUUGAUUGGGUAUUUGGUUUGAUUUUUGUGUUUAUAUAUUUUUGUUUUUGGUUAAAGUUUUCAUUAAUAACCAAAAAGUAUUUACGAAUCGAUCAGACUUUAUACUCAGUCUGAUUUUUCUCUAAACAUUUAACUCUCUGUAUAUCCUCCUACUUACUGACUAUUAACUCUAACUACCUAGGAAAUUUACAUUGUUGGAGCAUCCUCUUAGUAGUACUACUAGCUCGAACAUGACAAAUAUAAGCAAUCUCUCUAGCCAUUGUGUCCUCUGUAGUCUCCUUUUGCUCAAAAAUCCUUUUGUUUCUUUCCGUCCAGAUUGCAUACACAUAUUCUGUGUAUAUCAUCUUUACUAUUCUUGAUUUGGCAGUCUUCCCUUUGGUGUUCUGUUCUAUCCAGUGCUGCAUCUGGCUCCAUGUAUUCAAAUUUCUCCAGGUGAUCUGUAUCCAUUGCAUAAGCUUCUGCCAUAUAUAUCUUCCUAUUGGGCAUUCAGCAAAUAAAUGAUCUCUUGUUUCUGCUACUGUUUUGCACAUGACACAUCGACUAUCAACUUGAAUUCCCCAUUUUUCUAAUCUUGUAGCUGUUAGUAAUCUGUUCUGCUGCUGCAACCAAGUGAUAAACAUUGCCUUUGGUCUUGCUUCAUUGUUACACAUGAUGUUUUUCCAUGUUACUUUAGGCAGCUCCCCAACCAUUUUCAGAUAGACAUUCCUGAUCAUGCUUUUAUUCUUCAUAGCUUCUGGCUGCACAUAUCCUAGAUUCUCUCUUGCCUUGAGUAUCUUCUUGACCAUCCAACUAGCUUGUAGAGGAAUAGUCAUACUCUCCAAUGUUUGAGCUUUUAUGUAGUAUUCAUGAAUCCACUUAAUCCAUAGAGUAUCUUUUUUGUUCUUCAAGUCCCAGCAAGUUCUAAUUAUGGCAGCUUUGUUCCACAACUUGAGGUUAGUGAGAUUCAACUCUCCUGCUGCUAUAGGUAAACACAUCCUGCUCCACGCUACCAAUGAUUUCUUGGUAAUUUCAUUGGUUCCUGACCAGAUAUAACUUCUACAAUAUCCUUCAAUUGCUUUCAUCACCUUAGCAGGAAUAAUGAAUAAUUGUGCCCAAUAUGACUGAAUGCCAAACAAUACUGAUUUCACCAACUGUACUCUCCCUGCGUAUGAUAAUUUCUUUGUAGUCCAUGAGGAUAUUCUUGCUGUGAUCUUGUUGAUUAGGGGUUGUCAUUCCACCAGUUUUAGUUUUCUAGUGGCUAAUGGAAUCCCUAAAUACUUGAAUGGCAGUUCUCCUUCCCUGUAGCCAAGAACUUGUUGAAUUUCCUGCUUGUUCACCUCUGAAACUCCUCCAUAGUAUAUUGUACUCUUGGAUUGACUAGCUAUAAGCCCUGAAGCUUUUGUGAAUACCUUGAACUUUUCCUGUAACAGCUUCACUGAAAUUGUUUCACCCUUAGCAAACAUUAAGAGGUCAUCUGCAAAGCACAGAUGAGUGAUGCUAAGUUUGGAAUAAUUUGGGUGAAAUUUGAAGUACUUCUCCUCUUUCAGUGCAUUAAGGUUCCUGCUUAGAUACUCCAUAACCACAGCAAACAGAAAUGGUGACAUUGGGUCUCCUUGACGAAGCCCUCUAGCAGCAUCAAUAGGUGGGGUAGGCUCACCAUUUAUCAUGAUGGAGUAAUUUACAGUAGUAAUACAUUCCAUCACCCAAUUAAUGAAUUUUUGUGGAAAUUUUAGUUCUGUUAACAUUUGCUUCUGUUUAUAUUAUAUAUAUAUAUAGUUGUAUAAGCUAUAAAGUAUGAGAAUGCUUUGCUAUUAUGCAAGAUAUCUUAUGAAUAAAAUAUUAAAUCUUUUCAAUUUUAGUUCAGUAACCUUAAUCAAUCGAAUAUAUAUAUAUAUAUAUAUAUAUAUAUUGGCAUUAUCCCAACACCCAUAUCUGCACUUAGAUCCAUAUCCCCGAAUCCUAAAUUUUGUGAGAUGAGGAAUCCGACCUCUAGAUCCUCACCCGGAUCGGAUACCCGCACACGAGCCCGAGGAACAUAGGUUAUUACUGUAAGUGUUUCUGGACCCUACUUUAAGUAAGGUUUCCAAACCUUUCAAAAGAAAGAGGUAUAUGCUGUUUUGUGACACACUCUCAAUGAUAUGCAUUCAAGUUCUGGUUAAAACUGCAAAAGUUGAAAUUCUGAUUUCCACUACUUAGUAUGUACUGGUUUAAAUGUUAACUGUUCAUGUUUCUUACUUUCAGAUGAGUAAGGUUCUAUCAGACAGAAGUCAAAAGAAAAGCACUCAUGACAAUUAUAAAUAAUGUGUUAAAAUGAAAUCAUCGGCCACUACAGGCAAUGACAAUGAUAGGCAAAAACAAAGAUAGUACAUCAUAGUCUAAGUGUGUGCUUGCUUUGCACAUCAGCUCAUCAUGAGAGAAAUAAUUUAUUAUUAACUAAAAGACAUGCUGAAGCACUUACGAUGCACGAAAGUCAACUCCCACAGGCCUGGGAAGUUGCAAAAAGGCACGAGAAUGCAAAUCUGUCGCAAAAACCGUCUGCAUUUUGAAAAGGCCCAUCAGUAUUUUCAAA